Molecule: transfer RNA, 71 nt
Filed under: Sundadanio axelrodi 'red'
Lineage: Eukaryota; Metazoa; Chordata; Actinopteri; Cypriniformes; Sundadanionidae
Description: tRNA-Ser
Rfam family: tRNA
About the family: Transfer RNA (tRNA) molecules are approximately 80 nucleotides in length.
Source: RNAcentral
AAGAAGGUGACAGAGUGGUUAUGUGGUCGGCUUGAAACCGAUAUAUAGGGGUUCAAUUCCUUUCCUUCUCG